AUUGAACGCUGGCGGCAUGCCUUACACAUGCAAGUCGAACGGCAGCACGGGUGCUUGCACCUGGUGGCGAGUGGCGAACGGGUGAGUAAUACAUCGGAACGUACCUUAUCGUGGGGGAUAACGCAGCGAAAGCUGUGCUAAUACCGCAUACGCCCUGAGGGGGAAAGCGGGGGAUCGAAAGACCUCGCGCGAUUAGAGCGGCCGAUGCCUGAUUAGCUUGUUGGUGGGGUAAAAGCCCACCAAGGCGACGAUCAGUAGCUGGUCUGAGAGGACGAUCAGCCACACGGGGACGGAGACACGGCCCAGACGCCUACGGGAGGCAGCAGUGGGGAAUUUUGGACAAUGGGGGCAACCCUGAUCCAGCAAUGCCGCGUGAGUGAAGAAGGCCUUCGGGUUGUAAAGCUCUUUUGUCAGGGAAGAAACACCGGCUCUAACACAGUCCGGGAAUGACGGUACCUGAAGAAUAAGCACCGGCUAACUACGUGCCAGCCGCCGCCGUAA
Molecule: ribosomal RNA, 501 nt
Filed under: uncultured bacterium
Lineage: Bacteria
Description: partial 16S ribosomal RNA
Rfam family: Bacterial small subunit ribosomal RNA
Source: RNAcentral